UACGGAGGGUGCAAGCGUUGUCCGGAAUCACUGGGCGUAAAGGGCGCGUAGGCGGCUCAUGAAGGCUGUGGUGAAAGUCCGGGGCUCAACCUCGGAUCGGCCGUGGCGACUCGUGGGCUGGAGCACUGUAGAGGCGGGUAGAAUUCCGGGUGUAGCGGUGGAAUGCGUAGAGAUCCGGAAGAACACCAGUGGCGAAGGCGGCCCGCUGGGCAGUGGCUGACGCUGAGGCGCGACAGCGUGGGGAGCAAACAGG
This 253-nucleotide ribosomal RNA is filed under the name uncultured bacterium. RNAcentral's name for it is "partial 16S ribosomal RNA". It matches the Rfam family "Bacterial small subunit ribosomal RNA", at positions 524 to 776 of the family's 1533-position model. The record is from RNAcentral.